RNAcentral lists this ribosomal RNA (468 nucleotides) under uncultured bacterium. RNAcentral's name for it is "partial 16S ribosomal RNA". It matches the Rfam family "Bacterial small subunit ribosomal RNA", at positions 28 to 507 of the family's 1533-position model. The record is from RNAcentral.
GACGAACGCUGGCGGCGUGCUUAACACAUGCAAGUCGAACGGAAAGGCCCUGCUUUUGUGGGGUGCUCGAGUGGCGAACGGGUGAGUAACACGUGAGUAACCUGCCCUUGACUUUGGGAUAACUUCAGGAAACUGGGGCUAAUACCGGAUAGGAGCUCCUGCUGCAUGGUGGGGGUUGGAAAGUUUCGGCGGUUGGGGAUGGACUCGCGGCUUAUCAGCUUGUUGGUGGGGUAGUGGCUUACCAAGGCUUUGACGGGUAGCCGGCCUGAGAGGGUGACCGGCCACAUUGGGACUGAGAUACGGCCAAGACUCCUACGGGAGGCAGCAGUGGGGAAUAUUGCACAAUGGGCGGAAGCCUGAUGCAGCAACGCCGCGUGCGGGAUGACGGCCUUCGGGUUGUAAACCGCUUUCGCCUGUGACGAAGAGUGAGUGACGGUAAUGGGUAAAGAAGCACCGGCUAACUACGUG